AUUGAACGCUGGCGGCAGGCCUAACACAUGCAAGUCGAACGAGUGGCGGACGGGUGAGUAAUGUCUGGGAAACUGCCCGAUGGAGGGGGACAACUACUGGAAACGGUAGCUAAUACCGCAUACCAUGGGAUGUGCCGAGAUGGGAUUAGCUGGUAGGUGGGGUAAUGGCUCACCUAGGCGACGAUCCCUAGCUGGUCUGAGAGGAUGACCAGCAACACGGGAACUGAGACACGGCCAAGAACCCGAGGGGAGGCAGCAGUGGGGAAUAUUGGACAACGGGCGCAAUGCUGAUGCAGCAAUGCGGCGUGUAUGAAGAAGUCCUUCGGGUCGCAAAGUACUUUCAGAGGGGAGGCGUUACCCGCAGAAGUAGCACCGGCCAACUCCGUGGCAGCAGCCGCGGUAAUUC
RNAcentral lists this ribosomal RNA (406 nucleotides) under uncultured bacterium. Its description in RNAcentral is "partial 16S ribosomal RNA". It matches the Rfam family "Bacterial small subunit ribosomal RNA", at positions 29 to 526 of the family's 1533-position model. The record is from RNAcentral.